AGCAGCCGCGGUAAUUCCAGCUCCAAUAGCGUAUAUUAAAGUUGUUGCAGUUAAAAAGCUCGUAGUUGAAUUUCGGGGUUAGUAGGUUGGUCAUGCCUCUGGUAUGUACUGGUCUCACUGAUUCCUCCUUCCUGAUGAGCCGUAAUGCCAUUAAUUUGGUGUUGCGGGGAAUUUGGACAGUUACUUUGAAAAAAUUAGAGUGUUUAAAGCGGGCUUAGGCUUGAAUACAUUAGCAUGGAAUAAUGAAAUAGGACGUUUGAUCCUAUUUUGUUGGUUUCUAGGAUCGACGUAAUGAUUAAUAGGGAUAGUUGGGGGCAUUAGUAUUCAAUUGUCAGAGGUGAAAUUCUUGGAUUUAUUGAAGACUAACUACUGCGAAAGCAUUUGCCAAGGAUGUUUUCAUUAAUCAAGAACGAAAGUUAGGGGAUCGAAGACGAUCAGAUACCGUCGUAGUCUUAACCAUAAACUAUAGCCGACUAGGGAUCGGAUGAUGUUAAUUUUUUAAUGUACUCAUUCGGCGCCU
RNAcentral lists this ribosomal RNA (520 nucleotides) under uncultured Glomus. Its description in RNAcentral is "SSU rRNA". It matches the Rfam family "Eukaryotic small subunit ribosomal RNA", at positions 569 to 1088 of the family's 1831-position model. Lineage: Eukaryota; Fungi; Glomeromycota; Glomeromycetes; Glomerales; Glomeraceae. The record is from RNAcentral.